Lolium rigidum is the source of this 231-nucleotide long non-coding RNA. RefSeq lists it as uncharacterized. The transcript is spliced from 3 exons. The record is from RefSeq and is a predicted model, not a curated record. Lineage: Eukaryota; Viridiplantae; Streptophyta; Magnoliopsida; Poales; Poaceae.
GUACCCUCAAGUUUGCUCAACGUGCAAGGCGCAUUCAAAACAAUGCUCUUGUGAAUGAAGACUCUUUAGGAGACGUUCAGACUUUGCAAAAUCAAAUAUAUAUCCUAAAGGAGAGGGAGUCUGCUGACAACGAAUUGCAGAUGUUGCAGUCUCAAAUAGCCAAGCUUCUGCAAGAAAAAGAAAAUGCGAGAGAAUGCCAUCUCAAGAGUCAAGAAACCAUUGACGAUUUAA